UGCCAACCAAAGCCCAAGGUUCAAACCAAG
This 30-nucleotide non-coding RNA is filed under the name Rattus norvegicus (Norway rat). The record is from RNAcentral. Lineage: Eukaryota; Metazoa; Chordata; Mammalia; Rodentia; Muridae.